This 490-nucleotide ribosomal RNA is filed under the name uncultured bacterium. Its description in RNAcentral is "partial 16S ribosomal RNA". It matches the Rfam family "Bacterial small subunit ribosomal RNA", at positions 28 to 507 of the family's 1533-position model. The record is from RNAcentral.
GAUGAACGCUGGCGAUAGGCUUAACACAUGCAAGUCGAGGGGCAGCAUGGUCUUAGCUUGCUAAGACUGAUGGCGACCGGCGCACGGGUGCGUAACGCGUAUGCAACUUGCCUCACAGAGGGGGAUAACCCGUCGAAAGACGGACUAAUACCGCGUACACUCCAUCUUGGGCAUCCAAGGUAGAGGAAAUGAAAUUCGCUGUGAGAUAGGCAUGCGUCCCAUUAGCUAGUUGGUGAGGUAACGGCUCACCAAGGCGACGAUGGGUAGGGGAACUGAGAGGUUGAACCCCCACACUGGUACUGAGACACGGACCAGACUCCUACGGGAGGCAGCAGUGAGGAAUAUUGGUCAAUGGGCGAGAGCCUGAACCAGCCAAGUCGCGUGAAGGAUGACUGUCUUAUGGAUUGUAAACUUCUUUUAUACGGGAAUAACAAGAGUCACGUGUGACUCCCUGCAUGUACCGUAUGAAUAAGCAUCGGCUAACUCCGUG